UAUAUUAUAGUUUAAGAAAAAUUUUAAAUUGCAAGUUUAAAGAUAUAAGGGGGACUUAUUAGUGUAU
This 67-nucleotide transfer RNA is filed under the name Vollenhovia emeryi. Its description in RNAcentral is "tRNA-Cys". The record is from RNAcentral. Lineage: Eukaryota; Metazoa; Arthropoda; Insecta; Hymenoptera; Formicidae.